RNAcentral lists this ribosomal RNA (723 nucleotides) under Triticum aestivum (bread wheat). RNAcentral's name for it is "partial small subunit ribosomal RNA". Lineage: Eukaryota; Viridiplantae; Streptophyta; Magnoliopsida; Poales; Poaceae. The record is from RNAcentral.
AUGCGUCAGAGGGUUUUUGAUAACAGAGCCAUGCGAGUGGUCAACGAUUUCUGGGAUUUCUAUACAUGCGUUGAGGGUCAGAAGGAUCGUGCAAAUGUGGUGGUUGAGAAUAUUGCCAAGAAACUAGUCCACGACAUGCACUAUGAGGAGCGCGUCCGGUUAGUGGUCAAGUAUCACGCGGACUAUCUCAACCAUAGGAUUUCCAAACAGGAGGCUCGAGGGACGCAUCUUUCACGGGACAAUUACUUCAAGCCGUGCUGGGAGAAGAUCGUCGAACGGUGGACAGAUCUAGGGUGGCAGGAUGAACACAAAGUAAUAUCUGAACGGCGUAAGUUGAUGGGGAGUCGAGGACACCGUCAAGGCAACCUCACCAUCCCAGACACUGGCAAGGAUAUCACUUACUUCGAGGCAUGGACCAUCAAACGUACCAAAGACGACAAGGACAAGGACCCUCUCCACCCGGAGAGGGACUGGAUCAGCUCUAAAGCCCAGUCAGAUGGAGAGAACUACACCAAAAAAUUGAAGGAGACGUACGGGCCUGACGCUGAUCCUCACGUGCUACCGUUUGACCCUCUUGUGGCCAUUGCCGCGGCAGGCGGUAGACCGAAUGGCCGGAUGGCGGUUCACCUCGAUUUUUUCAUAACCUCCUCCCUUUCAAGAGUCAACACGCUCCGUGCUAUGAGUACUGGCUCUACUCCUACCGUAGAGCAUCACGUACCAUAG